RNAcentral lists this ribosomal RNA (230 nucleotides) under uncultured bacterium. RNAcentral describes it as "partial 16S ribosomal RNA". It matches the Rfam family "Bacterial small subunit ribosomal RNA", at positions 562 to 791 of the family's 1533-position model. The record is from RNAcentral.
AAAGGGAGCGUAGGCGGCUGAUUAAGUCAGCGGUGAAAGGUAGCAGCUUAACUGUUUUACAUGCCGUUGAUACUGGUUAGCUUGAGUUGACAGAAGGCAGAUAGAAUUCCUGGUGUAGCGGUGAAAUGCUUAGAUACCAGGAGGAAUACCGAUUGCGAAGGCAGUCUGCUGCAGUCACACUGACGCUGAGGCUCGAAGGUGCGGGGAUCAAACAGGAUUAGAUCCCGAGU